Molecule: unclassified non-coding RNA, 123 nt
Filed under: uncultured fungus
Lineage: Eukaryota; Fungi
Description: sequence contains ITS1
Rfam family: 5.8S ribosomal RNA (bases 1-107)
About the family: 5.8S ribosomal RNA (5.8S rRNA) is a component of the large subunit of the eukaryotic ribosome. It is transcribed by RNA polymerase I as part of the 45S precursor that also contains 18S and 28S rRNA. Functionally, it is thought that 5.8S rRNA may be involved in ribosome translocation.
Source: RNAcentral
GAAAUGCGAUACUUGGUGUGAAUUGCAGAAUCCCGUGAACCAUCGAGUCUUUGAACGCAAGUUGCGCCCGAAGCCAUUAGGCCGAGGGCACGCCUGCCUGGGUGUCACACAAACGCAAACAUG